This 115-nucleotide non-coding RNA is filed under the name Herpetosiphon aurantiacus. Its description in RNAcentral is "TPP sequence". It matches the Rfam family "TPP riboswitch aptamer (THI element)". Rfam says of the family: Vitamin B(1) in its active form thiamin pyrophosphate (TPP) is an essential coenzyme that is synthesised by coupling of pyrimidine and thiazole moieties in bacteria. The previously detected thiamin-regulatory element, thi box was extended, resulting in a new, highly conserved RNA secondary structure, the THI element, which is widely distributed in eubacteria and also occurs in some archaea. Analysis of operon structures identified a large number of new candidate thiamin-regulated genes, mostly transporters, in various prokaryotic organisms. The record is from RNAcentral. Lineage: Bacteria; Bacillati; Chloroflexota; Chloroflexia; Herpetosiphonales; Herpetosiphonaceae.
CACCAAAGCUAGGGGAGCCAAGUGAGCUUGGCUGAGAGGGCGGACCGAUCGAUGCCGCUAACCCUCAGAACCUGAUCUGGUUUAUACCAGCGUAGGGAAGCGUUUGACGAUUGGA